Molecule: ribosomal RNA, 252 nt
Filed under: uncultured bacterium
Lineage: Bacteria
Description: partial 16S ribosomal RNA
Rfam family: Bacterial small subunit ribosomal RNA
Source: RNAcentral
ACGGAGGAUGCAAGCGUUAUCCGGAUUUAUUGGGUUUAAAGGGUGCGCAGGCGGAAUGAUAAGUCAGUGGUGAAAUCCUACGGCUCAACCGUAGAACUGCCAUUGAUACUGUCGUUCUUGAGUACAGUUGAAGUGGGCGGAAUGUGUCAUGUAGCGGUGAAAUGCUUAGAUAUGACACAGAACACCGAUCGCGAAGGCAGCUCACUAAGCUGAAACUGACGCUCAGGCACGAAAGCGUGGGGAGCAAACAGG